UACGUAGGGGGCUAGCGUUGUCCGGAAUCAUUGGGCGUAAAGCGCGCGUAGGCGGCCCGGUAAGUCCGCUGUGAAAGUCAAAGGCUCAACCUUUGAAUGUCAGCGGAUACUGCCGGGCUAGAGUCCGGAAGAGGCGAGUGGAAUUCCUGGUGUAGCGGUGGAAUGCGCAGAUAUCAGGAGGAACACCUAUUGCGAAGGCAGCUCGCUGGGACGUUACUGACGCUGAGACGCGAAAGCGUGGGGAGCAAACAGG
Molecule: ribosomal RNA, 253 nt
Filed under: uncultured bacterium
Lineage: Bacteria
Description: partial 16S ribosomal RNA
Rfam family: Bacterial small subunit ribosomal RNA
Source: RNAcentral